Long non-coding RNA from Calliphora vicina (urban bluebottle blowfly), 295 nucleotides. RefSeq lists it as uncharacterized. The record is from RefSeq and is a predicted model, not a curated record. Lineage: Eukaryota; Metazoa; Arthropoda; Insecta; Diptera; Calliphoridae. The transcript is spliced from 2 exons.
AGCAAAACUGUUUCUCAGUAUAUUAAUAAAUUUUACGCAGAACGGACGAAUUGAUCGCUAAUUAAAUGAAGUUAUUUCAAAUAGUUUUUGUAAUCGCUUGCAUUGUUGCCGGAGUAAUUUGGCAUCCACAUAGUGUCUCAAAAUCGGUAUUCACGGUAAUGCCCAAUGGUCGCAAAUAGCGGAGGACAAAGUUUGAAGUCCAAGCAUUCUCUAUUUAAAAAAAUUUUAAGGUUUAUGUAACUGUUUAUUCUUAUGAUUUUCAAAAUAUUUUAAAAUAAACUUAAAAAAUCCCUUA